UUUUUUUCAUUUCUUUCUAUCUCAUCUGCCGAUCUAUUUUCUUCUCUCUAAACGCUCUAUACUCGUUCAAACCCUAGAAAAUUCUCAGCUCAAAUCGUUAGAUAUCAUGAGUUUUUCUAGAAAUUUCACUCCGAUUAAAUGAUUCGCUAUCAUCAAUUUCUUCUUUUCAACCGAUUAAUUUUUGUUUUUGAUGUUAUUUGUGUCAUUUUUUGAGAUUGUGUCUUCUGAGCUUUUUUAAAUCCUAUGAUCUUCAUUUUCGUUGUUUUAUCUUUGAAUGUUGCUCUAUUUUUGAAGUUUCUGAUUCUACAAAAAAAAAAUGGGUUGAAAUAUUUUUGAUCAAACAAAACCCUAGAUCUGCUGGCUUUUUGAGCAUUUGUAUGUGCUCAGCUAGAUCUUUUGUGUCUAUGUGUUCGUUUAGAUCUAUUGUGUCUAUGUGCUCAAUUUGUUAUUAUAAUUUUUUAAAAAAAAUACAAAACCCCCUUGAUCUAUUAUUUUCAAACUGUUCGGAUCGAAUAAAACCCUAGGUCUAUUAAGUUUUCAAAAUGUUCUUACAUUUUCGAUUUAACAGAAACCCUAGAUCUACUACGAUUGAAUUGUUCUUAUUUUUUAUCUAAACAAAACCCUAGGUUUAUUAUUUUCAAUAUGUUCAAAUUUUAGAACCCUAAAUCUACAGUUACUAGUUAAUAUUUUCUCUAUACAUAUACAUUUGACCAUCUCUAUGGUGUACUCUAUGUGUGUGUGUGUGUGUAUAUAUAUAUAAUUAAAAAAAUAUAACAAUUUUUUUCUAUGCAUAAAUUUCUUUACCUCCACAAAUCUUAAAAUACAGCUUCAUUGAUUAUUAUGACUGAUAAGAAAUUAAAAAAAGGGUUUUAUUUCGCCUACUAAAAUUUUGAAGAAAUUAUAAUGGAGUGAAUCUACUUAGCUCAUUUAUGCAGGCUCUGCUCAGGUAAUAUCUUUCUCUUUAUAUUUUUUUAAUGAAUUGUAUACCUGUCAAAUAUGUGUAUCAUCUCUCAAUUGUGAUGAACUUGGUUGAUAUAGAUAUUUUAUGUUAUUGUUUUGGGUUUUAAAAUUCUAUAUGCUUCAUUAUAUUUGGACUGACACUCAGGAACCAUCUAUGCAUUUCUUUUUAUUAUUUAAACUUGUAUGCAUUGAUGUAUUGCAUAUAACACUGACUUGUUGAGUUACUAUUUUGGUUUAAAAUCUUUUGAUAUAAGCUAGAAUAAUGAUAACAUAUAUCUUUAUUGACAUUAGACCAUAUGUGCUCUGUUUAUAAACUACAUCUCCCUGAAAUAUUUAUAUCUUAUGAUUGGACAUCUAGUUCACUCCUUUCCCUUUGGUUACAUCACUAAUACAAGAUCUGAAUGGAACUGAGUUAGUCUAAUCAAUCAUUCCUACUUACCUAAUAUAUCACUACAUUUUUUUAAAAAUAUAUCAUAAACAUUUCUUUGUGUACAAUUACCAAAGUCUGACCAUUCCUACUCAUUGCUAUAAUUUGAUUUUAAACCACUACAGUAAUAAGUAUGACUUACUCUCUUAUCCCUGUGAGCAUUGCUCCAUUUAUAUUUCAGAACUGUGUAUUUUGACAAGUAGGUUGUGACGCCCCCAAAAUAGGUAUACAUUACCUAUUCUGAGUCGUCAAAUACAUGAUACAGAAUACAAAUACAAUCUUAAAUAUACAACAUGAGCUGUGAGUUUUAAUACAAAUAUUAUUUUCUAGACAGUAUUCAAACUCAAAAUAAGUCCUCAAUACAUUUAUUAACACACUAUUUCAUAGAAUAGUGAGGACUACUAAUGCUAUCAUCUGGAUCGUCACUCCGUUCCUCGACUAGUUCUUGCUACGUUCUCAUUUCCUGAAGAGAAUAAUGAAAGUAAAAGGUGAGCUCAACUAGUCCAGUAAAAAAUAUUAUGAUUAAGAUAAUGCAGAAUAAAUUAUCGUUAUCCUUCAACAGUGUUAAACUGAUACAAUAUAACAAACAUCAAGUUUAACUGCAGCGGAAUAAGCAAUCCAUUAGAAGAGUUAAGUAGAGAAUAAAAUCUACUAUCUUCUAUGACUUAAAAUGUUUUUAUCAAUUUCUAUGGCCAAAGAUAUUCAUUAGUAUCAAAACCAUAAAUUAUUCAUACACUACGGGCUAAAGAUAUUCGUGUAUUCAUCAAUGGUCAUGAUCAUGCCAACAACUAUCCAUCAAUGCACUAUGGGCCAAUGAGGACUUUUACAACAUCAUUUGUAACAUUACGGUUAUGAUUAUACCGAAUAAUCCCUGAUUAUAAUCAUACCAAGUCCAUCUAUGCACUAUAUGCCACAGAUGACUUUCAACAUAAUAUAAACAUGAGGAUGAUGACAAUGAUAUAAGAAUUCAAUAAAACAAGUUCAAGAAUUAAUUUAUCCAGGAACUAAUAACAUCCAAAUUGUCAAUAUGAUACCGCUUUAUGGAGUAAAAUUCAAGAAUGCUCAAAAUAAUAUUUUCACGAAAAGAUACUGGAUGAAGCGCAAAUAUCCAGGAUAUUCUACUAAUUUCAUGGAGUAUAAAAUCCAAAACUUUAACCAACUGAGUAUAAUAAAAUAUAUAAAACUGCAAAUGGAUUUUCACCCGCCAUGCGGUCAUCCAAGUAUAUAGAUUAUUUCCACAAUUUAAUAAGGAAUGAAUACAAAUGAUCAUUCACCAUGCAUGUGGUAUUCCACAUAGACAGGUUAUUCCAACAGAAUAAUAGAGAAUGGAAUAACAAAAGAAUUCACCAUGCAUACGAUAGAUCGCACAGACAGUUUAUUCCCAACAGAAUAAUAAAUAAUGGAACCAGGUCAUGCGUAACCGCACAGACAGGAUAUUUCAACAGAAUAAUAAAUAACGAAAUCAGGUCAUACGUAAACGCACAGACAGGAUGUUCCAACAGAAUAAUAAAGAAUGGAAUAACAGAAGAAUUUCACCAUGUAUGCGGUACUUCAAAUAGACAGGUUAUUCCAACAUAAUAAUAAAGAAUGGAAUAACAUAAGAAUUUCACCAUGUAUACGGUACUUCGCAUAGACAGGUUAUUCCAACAUAAUAAUAAAGAAUGGAAUAACAGAAGAAUUUCACCAAGUAUAGGGUAGUUCGCGUAUACAGGUUAUUCCAACAGAAUAAUAAAGAAUGGAAUAACAGUUCUCUUCAUGAAUACAAAAGAAAUAAUACCCCUUAACUUAGAAGAAACUGGAUAUAGGAGUAGUGAAGUAGCAGAAUACUUUUUUUCUUUCUCUCUAUAGUCUCUCUCUCUCUCUCUCUAGAGUUCCAGCUAAUUCGUAAGAAAUAAUGAAGGAAUGAGCUUCUAUUUAUAGGAGAAUGGACUGAAUAGUAACUAAUUCAUGAGCGGUCCAGAUUGAUUUACUUUUAAAUGGACGGUCCAUAUUAAAUUACUAUGCAGUAAUUACUGUAGCAAUAAUUGAACAAAACUGAGUGACUUCUCACGUAAGCAUCAAUAAUCAAAAUCGUGUGCUACUAUGAAACCACGCGUAUUACUGUACUUUUACUAUCGAGUAGUUCAACAGUUUUAACGGUAAAACUUUCGCCGUUAUUUUUAUAAAACUAUUUUUGUCAUUUUCUCAAUCCGACAAUAAUUCCGUUGUGGGGUCCACCAAUGAUUGUAUCGUCAUACGAAUAUUUUCCGACAAAAAGAAUAUUUCCCGACCAAUCGAAUAUUAUACAACAACUUGCAUACUUUUCAAAAUUUAUAAAUAUUACCCACAACUAUAACAUUAUCUCAAAUCUACACCAUAAUAUAAAAAAAAUUCAAGAAAAUUAAAUCUUUAUUCAUAAAAUUUGGGGUCUCACACAGGUCAUAUCAUAUACUUAUGAGUCAUUGUUUAAAUUGAUAGUGUUAGCCAUAUACUUUAUCUAUAAAAUGAAAUUUUACAAACUACCUGCAUAUAUUCCUAAAUUCAUCUUUCUGCAAUCUUUAUGUCUUUUACCUUCUAUCCUUCUGCUUACAUUGCACUUUCCAAAUGAAUCCAUUCUAUUCUUCCAAACUAAAGAAACUUGCAUUACAUAAUGAAUCUCAUUUCGAUAUUUAUGCACCUAUAUUGCUCACUCUUACUACUAAACCUAAAUAUAAUCAUAUGAGACAUAAUCUCAAUCUUGGGGUAGGUACCUCUUUAAUAGCUUUCCUCAAUUUCUUGAAAAAAUAACCAAUAUAGGAUGGGUAUGUCUAAUUAAUUUUCCAAAUAGACAAAUCUUUUCAAGUCUGAUUGCUGAGUUUUAUGCCGAUGUGACUUUUGUUCGAGAUUUAACUAGUCUCUUAACUUGUAUUAACACUUGCAUACAAGGUCAAGAUUAUGUCAUUGAUGAACUGCUUAUUCUACAUGCCUUGUAUCUCAGAAAUUGCAUGAUAGACUUUCCAAAAAUCAAUGAAUACACUUAUCCUAUAGGGGUUUCCACCAGUGACUAUCUCAGUUUUAAACACAAUUUAGUUGUCACUACUGAUCAAAUUGUACCUACAAACUUAUUUGACUAUCCAUGCAAAGUUAGUCUUAACUUUUUCACUGCUGACUGUCAAUUUUUGGGAAAAAUUAUUCGACACAAUUUUAUGACUUCCAGAAAUGACAAAUUCCUACAUCCCUUUGAUAUAGAGCUCAUGAAAUGUGUUUUAACUGAAUGUAUGCCAUACAGUCUACCAUACUUUCUUCUCACUUGUUUUGAGUUCUGCUAUCAUAAAAAUUGUCUAGGUUAUGCUCUUUUGUUAACUUGAAUUUUUAAACAUCUUGGAAUUCAAGUUCAUAAUCAUAAGGCUCAACUGGUUCAGAAUAGCAAUAUUGUCUCACAUUUGAAUCUUCCUCCCAAACCUUUAAUCAUCUUCAAACCAAAUGACACCGAGCAUGUUGAAUCUCAUCUAAAUCUGAUGUCUCAUAUUGAUGCAUUAAAUAGCAUGAAUCAACUUUGUUUGAAAAAUCAAAGUGUUAUAAUAGAUCAAUUAGAGGCUUUACAAUUAUUUGUGCAUCAUCUUCAAGAUAUGUUGAGUGUGUUAAUGGAACAACAAAAGGUCUCCAUUCUUUCUUACCACUUCACAGCUACAACAAGCUUAGCACAGGUUGAUCAAACCCCUCCACAUAUACCUCUUUCAACUCUGGCUUUGCAUUUCUCUGUAAAUUUUUGUGAAAAUCAGAGUAGCAAUCAAAUUGCAAAAUUAGCGAAAGCAAAGUAAAAUCAAAUUUUAAAAUUUUUCACAAACCAAUUACCCGAAUCAUCCUUUAUGGAUAUUAUUAAUUAAAACGAAGAACAAGAAUUUAUGGAAUCAUACCCUUGUAGAUACAAGCUUCCACAGGUACGAGUUCAACUCCUACUUCUCCGCAAUCUCCUUGAAUCUCCGGGUAGAUUUCUUCAUUUGAUCAAUGUUAGCCACCCAAGUGUAUGGCAUCUACAGGUGAUCAAUAUUAAUUUAUAUUUAAUAUUUCUAAAAUAUUAAGCUAUUUAAUUUAUUCUAUCACAAUAGAUUAAAUUAAAUAUACUUAACAUAUUAUUACGAUUAUGCCAUUAACUUCUUAAAUAAUUAUUCUUCCUUUUAUGGUGUGACCCUUUAGGUUCUCUAUAUUAAACCAGUUGUGAAUAAAUCAAUUAGAACAAUUCUAAUCUUAUUUAAAUAAAUAAAUUAAAUUAUUAAUUUAUUUAAAUAAAUAAUAUUUAUUCUACAAUAAGGAUAAGCCUCUCUAGCGAUCAACGACUUUUCAGAUAAUAUAGAUUUCAACAUUAAUCAUAAAAGAACCUUUGAAUAAAUAGUUACCGUACAAUUCAAUCCUUCCACCAUACAAUGUCCCAAUUAAAUAUAAGACAUGGAAUUACUGUCAAGUCUUAUUUUAUUUAAUUAUAUGUAUUUCGAUUCCUAAAUGUACAACUCCGAAUAAAUGCAAAUUAGAAACUACUUUCUAAUUUCAUUUCACCUUGGCCAAGGAUUCUUGAGUUGUUAUUUAUCGAAUCACAUAGGACAUUUCUCUUCUUUUAUUAGAAGUGGUAGAUUCAAUAUUGAUCAUUCAUUAUCUCCAUAUAUAACUUAUUACACCCAAGCAUACCGUUUGAUAUACCCUAAGGGUCUUAAGGAAUAAGUUAAAAUAUAAUUCAUUAUACAUAAGAUACUAUGAUGAUAUCAAGUCUAAGGAUCAUUUGUACUACUAUCACUACAGGAAUUCCUAUUAACGGGCAAGUAAAACUCCAUUAGGUAUUCCUUAGCGAGUCACGUUCAGUGAACUUAUUCUCCAAUAAGCACCUACAUACUUGUUUUAGUGUCUCCACACAAAUGAUCAUGAGAUCAAUCAUUCUUAUCCAAUGAACAAACAACGUAUGUAUCAAUCUAUCUAGAUUCACUAAUCCCCUUUUUAGUAAUUCAUUAAUUGAGAACAUUUUAAUUUUAAGCUAUCUAAGAAUUUAGAUCUCAUUAGCAUGAUCUCAUCAUGAUUCUAAAAGCACUGCUUAAAACUAUGGGUUUAUAACAUAUUAUUAAAACAUCACCAUGUAGAUAAUAAAUGCCUUUAAUAAAUAAUUCUUUUAUUAAUAAAUAAUUAAGAUUGAUUACAAAGUAUAUGAUUUAUCAUCACGCAUGAUUGACUUGUUUGCAUACUACUUUCAUUCUCCCCUGUCUCUUUGGAUGAAAUCUAACUAUUCGGAAGGAUUGUAUCUAUAUAUAUUCACUAACUAUUUGGGAUGAAUGUACCUGUAUACUAACCUAACUACUAAUACUCAGGCUUUAUCUAUUUUGUUUACUUCUUAUUCUGACUCUUCAGGGAAUAUACUUUAUGCUUUAACUAACUGUUGCUACAGGUGAAUGGAAACAGUAUUUCCUUACCCCCCCCUCCCAUUUUUAUAAUGACAAAAGGGGAGAAGAAAAAUAUCAAAUGGCAUGUCUAUAAUAACUGGUAUAUACUUAUGAGAUGGAUAUUUGAAUGUGAUGGAUAUAAACUGCUAUAAAUUGUUAUAUUUUACUUUCAGUUGGUUUUUUCAAAAAAUUGAAAUUUCUUUUCAAAACCGAUUCAUGAUCGAAGGGGGAGCUUCAUGAAUUAAGGGGGAAUUCUAAAAACAAAAAUAUUUUUUCUUAUUGUCAUCGUCAAAAAGGGAGAUAAUGAUAGGUCUCCAAAUCUGGUGGUUUUAUUUUGAUGUGAACAAAUUAGGAAAAUAGGUCAAAUGGGUAGAAUCCUCUCCAUGGGAUUAAAAUAAAUUAGACGGAGCAACAUUCCCAAGCAUUAUGUUGUGAACCAUAUAACUUCUGUUCAUCCUCACUAUUAUUAAAAUCAAGCUAUUGUGAAUAUCUUUGGUCUGUGUGCAAAGAUAAUAUGAUUGGUGAAUGUUUUUGGCCUGCAUGGCAAGGACAUGUGGUAAAUAGUUCUCUUUGAUCGUAGUGCAAAGAUGGACUGUUCAUUGACAUGAUCAUGACCAUUGGUGUUAUAAUUUAAUAUAUUUGGUCUGUAGUGCAAAGUUGAAUUGUUGAUUUACAUGAUUAUGAUUAGGAACUACCGAUUGGUGUUACAGGGAUAAAGUAUUGAUGGUGAACUUUUAAAUUGGGAAAGAUUAUGAGCAUCAUGAUCUAUAUUAUUCUCCUAUUUAAUUGUUAUUUCUGCUGUAGUUGUUGAUUUAGCUAAAACUUGUUGUCUAUUAUAUUCUAUUAGAUUUUUCACUGUUGAAGGCUAAGAAUAAUUUAUUCUUCAUUAUUUUAGUCAUGAUAUUCUUUACUGGGCUAUUUGAGCUCAUCUUUUUCCUUUUUGUUCCAUUGUUCUUCUUAGGAAAUGAGAGUGUAGCUAGGACUAGCCGGGGUGUGGAGUGAUGGUCCAAGAUAGUUACUAUAGUAGUCUUCACCAUGUUGUAAAAUAGUGUGACAAUAAUCAUGUUGAGAACUUAUAACACGUGUUCUCGUAUCUUAUACAACAUUGUAAUAAUUUGGGUGUGGAUAUUGUCUUAAUAUCUACGACAUUGUAAUAAGAGAAUAUAUGGUUGUGGUAUGUAUUUUGGCGAUCCAAAUUGAGUUGUUUGGUCCCUAUUUUGGGGGCGUCAUACUUGGGGUAACUUAGGUGUUUAAAGGCUUGUUGAACAUGCUAAGUGCAAUCAUGUUUCUUACGAAAAAUGGGUUAGUUAUAGUUUUUAUUUUAUUUUUAUUUUACUUGAGGACGAGCAAAAGUUAGGUAUGGGGGUAUUUGAUAGACUCAUAAUUCAUAGAUUUAUUAUUCCUAUUUUUGUCCUUUUAAUUAUAUUAGUUUAUUAAAUUAAUAUAUUUUGUUUUGAUUUGUAGGAUUUAAUAUUUUGUUGUAAUAAAGUCAAAAUCUUGAUGAUCAAAUAAUAUUUAAUGCUCUUAUUCAUGUAAGGAAAUGUCCAAGAAGAAUCUUACAAUGAGAAGGAAGGAGAUGGAACAAUCUUGGUGUGCAAGUCAAAUCUAACACGAGAAAGGAAAGUUCAUCUAGAAGAUAUAUUUGAGAAGUUGAUUGUCACUAUGAAGUUGAAACCUACAUGGAAAAUAAUUGAGCUUUGAUGCCUAUAAAUAGAGAGAUGUUAGGUUUUCUUUUAUGUAUUAGUUUAGGUUAGGAGUAUGAUUAAAUUAUUUUUUCAUUGUACACUCGUUGGAUGAUAGUUAAUAAAGAGAGUUUUCUUGUUUAUUUUUAAUCUUCUACUUCUUUUUCUUUAUCUUACUUAGUUUAUUUAUUUUUCAUGUCUAAUUAAUUUCUUUAAUCUAGGACGAAGAUGAAAUUAAAUAAUUAUUCAUGCUAGUAUUCUCCAUCUCUUCUAUUAUUUAUGUUUUUUAUGUUUAAUUGAUUUCGUCUUUAUGUUUCGUUAUUGAAAUACAUUCAUUUUAUAAUUCUUAUGUGAUUUUAAAUUAAUU
This 8817-nucleotide long non-coding RNA is filed under the name Panax ginseng (ginseng). Its description in RNAcentral is "long non-coding RNA (PGIN_LNC008614)". Lineage: Eukaryota; Viridiplantae; Streptophyta; Magnoliopsida; Apiales; Araliaceae. The record is from RNAcentral.